RNAcentral lists this long non-coding RNA (1044 nucleotides) under Pogona vitticeps (central bearded dragon). Its description in RNAcentral is "lncRNA (ENSPVIG00000012320.1)". Lineage: Eukaryota; Metazoa; Chordata; Lepidosauria; Squamata; Agamidae. The record is from RNAcentral.
CUGGUGCCAAUAACAAGCAUCUAUCGCGGAAGGGCACUUAAAAAUACAGAAAUUUCCAUAUGGGAGAAUGAAACGGCCAGAUUUUUGAAAUUGGGAAUUCAUGUUAAAUGUCAAUAUUCUUCAUUUGGAGAAUGUGUAGGGCCACGAAAAAUAUCCAUCCACAGAAUCUACAAAAUAGAAUGGAGAGGUUUUGGAGUAUGGUGGCUCCAACUUUCCAGAGAGAUAAGCGCUUUCUUUCUGUCUCUCUUUCGUCUUUUGUCACAGGUUAUUUUCGGUUCAAUUCUACUCUGCAUUGCCUUUUUCACAGUCCGUGGUAAGUCCGAAAGGCUUAAACUGUUAGACACAAUAAUAAUAGUGAAUGCAGUGUUUAUAAUCAUUCCUAUUCAUAUCCUCAUCUUUGAACGUAGUACAAGAAAUGUUCUCCUGGACGUUCAAGGGCCUCAGAUUGCAACCCUCAUUCUUUUGUCACAGGCAGAGAUGGAUUCUUGGAGGUUUAUUUCGCCAGGCAGUCAGAUUAUUCUACAAUUUGUGGAUUUUUUUAAAAGGAAAAGUUACCUCAGUCCAUGCCAGGAUCAAGCUGGAGACAAAUUGACACCCUCUGAAGAUGUCAGUGUGAAGCAAUGCCAAAGGAGAAACAACUCUGCAUUUCUUAAAUCUUAAAUCAGCCUCUGGCUUCUUUUCCUUCUUCUGCUGCGGCUAUCGGCCAAAACAGAUGAUAAAGACGACAUCAUUUUUAGAAGCACACACUCCCCACUGAAAUUCGGCUGGCACCCGCGCUGGAUGCUUUUAAAAGCCAACUAAAAACCUGGUUAUUCAAACAGGCCUUCCCCCCAGUCAACUAAGUUUUUUUUUCUUUCCUUUUCUUCUGUUUUUUGAGUUUUAGCCAUCUUGAAUAAUAUUGCUUAUAAUUAUUGUAUUAUAUAUGUUAUUUAUAUGUUCUUUUAAUUUGUUUUAGCCUAUGUAAGCCGCCUCCAGUAGACGCUGUCUAGAGGGGCGGGGGAAAAAUCAAAUAAAUAAAUAAACAUCACCGUUUAGAGAUGCCGU